This 268-nucleotide long non-coding RNA is filed under the name Hordeum vulgare. RNAcentral describes it as "long non-coding RNA (HVUL_LNC019984)". Lineage: Eukaryota; Viridiplantae; Streptophyta; Magnoliopsida; Poales; Poaceae. The record is from RNAcentral.
CGGAACGCGAUGGACGCAGAGGCGGAGACAGGGGGUGCGAGCAGGGGUUGGACACCCCCCAUCGCCUCGCCUCCUCUAUGUGUUUUGCUUACCAGGAACUUGUACUCGCAUGUCUUUUUGAUUUAUUUUAUUAUUCGUGGGCUAACACGACCACUUUCCAUCCCAACAUGAGAAAGCAUUGUAUGAUGCCUUGAUAACUAGAUGUACGCAUCAGAAACUGGGAUUGCAUUGCAUGUAGCCGUGAGAUCUGGUAGUCAGUUCCCUGUAA